RNAcentral lists this ribosomal RNA (1241 nucleotides) under Hesperus amabilis. Its description in RNAcentral is "16S ribosomal RNA". The stretch from base 1031 to 1189 matches the Rfam family "Archaeal large subunit ribosomal RNA", at positions 2542 to 2701 of the family's 2987-position model. Lineage: Eukaryota; Metazoa; Arthropoda; Insecta; Coleoptera; Staphylinidae. The record is from RNAcentral.
UAAAAAUUAUUUUUAAUUAUUAAAUAAAAUAUUAUUUAUAUUUAUUAUUGUUAGAGAAAAAAUUUUUUUUAUUAUAGUUUAUUAGUAUAGUGAUAGAAUUUUUAAAAAUUGAAAAUUUAAAUAUUUAAAAGAAAAAUUUAUUUUUUGUACCUUGUGUAUCAGGGUUUAUUAAUUAAAUAUUAAAAAUUUAAUUUUCUCGAUUUUAAAAGAGUUAAAAAAUUAUAAAUUUUAUUGUUGAAUAAAUAUUUAAAAUAAUUUUUUUGUAAUGAAACGUUAUUCGUUUUUAAAUAUAUCUAGUUUUUGAAGAAAAAAAUUUAAUUUUAUUAAAUUAUUGAAAUUUUUUUUUUAUUAAAAAUAUUUUAUGGUUUAGUUAAUAAUUUAAGGGAUAAGCUUUAAAUUAAAUUUAUAAAAUUUGAUUUGUAUUAUAAAAUUGUAGGAUUAGAAAUUUUCAUCAAUAUAGUUUAUUAUAAUUAAUUUAUUUUUUAAUAUAAUUUAUAAAUAUUUAUAUUUUUUAUUCAAAUUAAUUAUUUAAUUGUUAUUAUUUAUAAUAAUGAUAAAAUUAGUAUGAUUUUAUUUAUUUUUAAUUAUAGAUUUUAAUAUUUAAUAAAGGAAUUCGGCAAAAAAUUUCUCGCCUGUUUAAUAAAAACAUGUCCUUUUGUUUAUAAUUUAAGGUCUGACCUGCCCAUUGAUGUUUAAAAGGCCGCGGUAUUUUGACCGUGCGAAGGUAGCAUAAUAAUUAGUUUUUUAAUUGAAAGCUGGAAUGAAUGGUUGGACGAGGAAAUAACUGUCUCUAUUAAAAUUACAGAAUUUUAUUUUUAAGUAAAAAAGCUUAAAUUUAUUUAAAAGACGAGAAGACCCUAUAGAGUUUUAUAUUUAUUUAAUUUUAUAUUUUUUAUAAUUUUAUUUUAUAAAAUUAAAUAAUUAUUUUGUUGGGGUGAUAGAAAAAUUUAAUAAACUUUUUUUAAAUUAAAUCAUUGAUUUAUGAAUAAAUGAUCCAAUAUUUUUGAUUAAAAGAUUAAAUUACCUUAGGGAUAACAGCGUAAUUUCUUUAAAGAGUUCAAAUCGAAAAAGAAGUUUGCGACCUCGAUGUUGGAUUAAAAUUUAUAUUUGGUGUAGAAGCUAAAAUAUUAAGUCUGUUCGACUUUUAAAAUUUUACAUGAUCUGAGUUUAAACCGGUGUGAGCCAGGUUGGUUUCUAUCUUUAAAAAAAAAUUAUAUUUUAGUACGAAAGGACCAAAUAUA